Mercenaria mercenaria is the source of this 3145-nucleotide long non-coding RNA. RefSeq lists it as uncharacterized. NCBI's taxonomy places the organism in Eukaryota, Metazoa, Mollusca, Bivalvia, Venerida, Veneridae. The record is from RefSeq and is a predicted model, not a curated record. The transcript has 3 exons.
AAUAUCACAUACAAGAUUGCGCUGUAAUGGACAAAGAAAUCAUGUUACUAAGGAAUCCCCGAUUUAGUUAUACAGUGACUGAUUUAGAAAGUGUAAAGAAUAGUGUAAAUUCUCACAUAUCUUGUAUAUUUGAUAAUAACAGUACGUUACGAUAGUGGUAUGGUGUAAUAAUCGGCAGUGUAGUUGUUACUGUGGCAAUCAUCAUCGCAGCUGUCAUAUGGAAUUGCAGAAACUCUGCAUCAAAUGCGGCAGGUCAUUCAGGUACUGGUGGAAUGGUGCUGACCGCACUGGCCCAGAUCUAUGGGCAAUCACCUGGAAAUAACAUGCCUACACAACCACCAAAAUAAAAUAUAGUUUUCGUGGUACCCGGCAAAGAUAAAUAAUAAACCGUUGAACCAAAGAGUGUCAUUUAUAUUUACAUAGACAUGUACAUCCAGCACACGAUAUGCCGAUUUUAAAAUAAAGUAAUCCAUUAAUACUUCAUUUAAGGUAUUAGAUCACUAAUAGAGAACCUCCUUUUUGAAGAGUAUUCAAUUCCGACCAUAAAAUAGAGAAAAGUGGAAACUUCACAGGUCGCUCAACACGACAGAAACGAAAAUGUUGCAGGCUCGGUUUGAUUGAGUCUGUUCGUGGAAAACCUAUUUUUACUGCAGUUCUUAGUGGGGUGUAGGUUCAAGCCCUACUGGGACCAAAAUUUUUUUCCUUAUUUUUUUUUCUAGUAAGUUUUUACUUCUUUCAAGACUUAUUAUUGAUUUCUUGUACAAAAAUGGAAAAAUAUUAAUCUUAUAAGCUAUUUCUUGGUAUUCAAAGUGAAUUUACUACUUAAGUUACACAUCAUUACGAAUAUUGAGUUACACGCGGUGAAAGUUCUCUAUUUUGCUUUCACUCUUAUAUUAUAUAUUGUGGAAGAAAUUUGGGUAGGUUUUACGUCUGCCAUAAGGUUAUUUUAAAAUGGAGUAAGCAAAAUGCAAAACAGAAACACAGCAUUCGACCUUAUUUUUUCAAUGUUGAAGUAUGAAAUUCUGUCUCAAUAAAUCCGUUUAUUUGAGGCACCAUAGAAAAAAAUGAUACUGACAUUUUUAUUUUGUGUUUAUUUUGUGUUUUAUGAUUGUUUACCAAUAGUUUGAUGUUUCUUUUAUUAAAAUUCAUGGUAAAAUGAGUUCUCUGCAAACGUUUUGGAUAGUUGCUAUCACUUUGAAAUUUGUCUCUACUUGAGCUUGAGGAGAUAUGGUAAGUUAUACAAAAUUUAUAAAAAAAACAAAAAACGGCACGUUAAAAGUUGUUUAGAAAUUGCAAAAUAGUGCAAAACACGGUUACCUUUCAGAAUAUACCAAGCAAAGGCCAUUUUGUAAACAUUACUAUUAGUGAUCUAAUACCUUAAACAGGAUUUAAUUCAGUAUUUAUGUACAUAUAUACAAACAAUCACAUACAAUCUAAGGAUUUGAAAACAAGCUUUCAAAGAAAGCUUCCUUGAAUUCUAUUUCCAAAGAUAUAUACGGUGUAAAAUGUAUGUUAACUCGUACUUGUAUUAACGUAGUGUUUUCAUUUAAUUUUUUAGCGCAGCCAUAUUCAUCCCGUUUUCAUGAACUAUAUUGUGAAGGUCAUUUUUUAAUACAACAUAUUUCUAUUCUUACAUGGCGAGGAGGAAAAACAAAUAUUUGGUAAAUUAGUGCUUUUACACGAAGAUGAAUUUGAAUUUUUUAGGUAACAUCUCUACAGGUCGCGAAAAAGUUAGUGUCCGGAAACGGGAGUUUACUCGUUUUCAUCACGAAAAGAAAGGAAUCGACGGGCUGAAAAUGUCACAUGAUGAAGCGCUUAGUAUAUGCAAUAUAUCCGCUCUACAUUUUCCUGAGAUUUCUCAAAGCUGGAUUUUUUUUUUACUUUUUUUUCGCGCUGGUAUCGACGCAAAUUUGCGGAAUUUUCAAACUUAUUGUCCCUUGUUUGCGAAUAAAAUGCAGUUUUCCCCAUUCUUUUUCAGUGUGGAUAGAGAGAACUUGAAAACAAGGGUAGUCUCUCCAGAAAUAGAAAAUGGAAACCGCAGUAAAGAGUAAACAAUCCGUUUACUACAGUUCAAACUAUUAGACGGAAGGUAAAACGGAAUGCUACACUUUUUGGUAGAACUAAAUCGUUUGUACCAGACCAUUGGGGCAUUAUCUUGUAAUUUUUAAGAUGGCCAUAACUUUUUCAUUUCUUUAUAGAUCCCUUUCAUAACCGACCUCAAAGUCAAGUUCUUUCAAGGAUAACACUUGCCAAAUGUAUACAUACCUUAUUUUCCUGCUACACUGCCUUUAUUUCUUAUUCAACAAAGAAAUGGGUAACCAUUUUUAUUAGCUCACCUGAACCUUAUUCAGGAUGAGCUGUUAGUAUAAGUGGAUGGUCCAACGUCCGUCGUCAUGCGUCGUCAGCAUUAUUACUUAUUCUAACACGACCAGCAAAUAACCUAUAUACACAUAGGAGAAAAUCAAUCAACGGUUAUUUUGCUUCAAAGUUUCAUGUUUUCAAGUUUAUUCAUAAGAACAUGACUCCUAACCGGAGUGUGUGAAUACAUGUUACACAAAUAUCAUAUACAAGACUGAGCAAUACAUACUUAUUACUAUGAAUGGCUAUAUCUAACUGGACUUACAUUCAUACCAAAAAUGUUUGGAAGCACAACUCCAGCAAUCUGCACCAUCCACAAGUACCAGUAUGGGGAGAAAUAAGAAAUAUUAAAUGGAAUGACUACGUGAUAAUUGCACCAAAGUCCUGUGGAUCAUCACAGAGCACUAGACUCGCAAUCCCAAAACCUUAUAAAAGUUAAAAUAUUGAGACAUCUAUACAGUACUAUAUUCAGAGAGAUCAAAAAUCAAGUGACUUAGCAUUUACAGACAAAUGUGUAAUAAGAAGGAAGACACUAUUGCAAUUUAGAUAGUACAACUUUUAACACGUGUAAAUGUUGAGUUCUGCUCAACCCGGGGCUAGAGGGCGUGGACGGUAGCAUGCAUUUCCACUACCGUCCAUAAACAGGCUCAAUCAAACCGAGCCUGCAACAUUUUCGUUUUUGUUGUGUUGAGCGACCUGUGGAGUUUCCACUUUUUCUAUUUUACAUAAUAUUGCUAACCUGAACAAUGUACUAACAUUUCCUGAAUUAAACAGUACUUUCACUUUA